This 202-nucleotide unclassified non-coding RNA is filed under the name plant metagenome. Its description in RNAcentral is "partial contains small subunit ribosomal RNA and internal transcribed spacer 1". The stretch from base 1 to 46 matches the Rfam family "Eukaryotic small subunit ribosomal RNA". The record is from RNAcentral.
CAGUCGUAACAAGGUCUCCGUUGGUGAACCGGCGGAGGGAUCAUUACUGAGUCGUAAAAAUCUCCCAACCCAUGUGAAUUUACCUUUGUUGCCUCGGCGGGACCUACCCGGUACCUACCCUGUAGCUACCCUGUAGCCCGCCGGUGGACCAUUCAACUCUUGUUAUUUAUGGAAAUCUGAGCGUCUUAUUAAUAAGUCAAAU